RNAcentral lists this ribosomal RNA (253 nucleotides) under uncultured bacterium. RNAcentral's name for it is "partial 16S ribosomal RNA". It matches the Rfam family "Bacterial small subunit ribosomal RNA", at positions 524 to 776 of the family's 1533-position model. The record is from RNAcentral.
UACGUAGGGUGCAAGCGUUAAUCGGAAUUACUGGGCGUAAAGCGUGCGUAGGCGGUGAUGUAAGUCAGAUGUGAAAUCCCCGGGCUCAACCUGGGAACUGCAUUUGAGACUGCAUCGCUGGAGUGCGGCAGAGGGGGAUGGAAUUCCGCGUGUAGCAGUGAAAUGCGUAGAUAUGCGGAGGAACACCGAUGGCGAAGGCAAUCCCCUGGGCCUGCACUGACGCUCAUGCACGAAAGCGUGGGGAGCAAACAGG